CUCGCUGAGUUUAAGCAUAUGAAUAAGCGAAGGAAAAGAAACUUACAAGGAUUCCCUUAGUAACGACAAGCAAACAGAGAAGAGCCUAGCUUGAGAAUUGGGCAUCGUUGAUGUAUGAAUUGUAGUUUAGAGAUGCAUCCUCAGCAGCGGAUCGAGCAUAAGUUCUCUAGAAGGGGGCGCUAGAGAUGGUGAAAGCCUCGUUGCACUCGAACCCUAUCGCACCACGAGUUGUUGUCAACGAGUCGGAUUGUUUGGGAAUGCAGUCCCAAUCAGGCGGUAAAUUCUAUCCAAGGCUAAAUAUGGGUGAGAGAUUGAUAGUAAACAAGUAUCGUAAGAGAAAGAUGAAAAGGACUUUGGAAAGAGUAAAAUAGUGCUUGAAAUUGUCGAGAGGGAAGCGGAUAAGGGCCGGUAAUGUGCCUCAGUUUGAUGUGGAACGAUGACGAGUCGGUCCGUCAAUCAACUUGGGUAUGGACUAAUGUGGUUUAAGAUGGCGGCUUACGCCCAGGUCUUUGUUAUGCCUGUGGAGACGUCAUCGUUCUGAUCGUGGUUGGUAGCACGCCUUUUGGCGAGCUUCAACAUUUGCAACUCCUGGCAUCGACCUAUAGGCUCCCCAUUUAACCCGUCUUGAAUCACGA
This 635-nucleotide non-coding RNA is filed under the name Cucumis melo (muskmelon). RNAcentral's name for it is "Eukaryotic large subunit ribosomal RNA". It matches the Rfam family "Eukaryotic large subunit ribosomal RNA", at positions 24 to 664 of the family's 3401-position model. RNAcentral also lists the same sequence under 1 other name. The record is from Rfam by way of RNAcentral. Lineage: Eukaryota; Viridiplantae; Streptophyta; Magnoliopsida; Cucurbitales; Cucurbitaceae.